GACGAACGCUGGCGGCGUGCCUAAUACAUGCGAGUCGAACGCUUCUUUCCUCCCGAGUGCUUGCACUCAAUUGGAAAGAGGAGUGGCGGACGGGUGAGUAACACGUGGGUAACCUACCCAUCAGAGGGGGAUAACACUUGGAAACAGGUGCUAAUAUCGCAUAACAGUUUAUGCCGCAUGGCAUAAGAGUGAAAGGCGCUUUCGGGUGUCGUUGAUGGAUGGACCCGCGGUGCAUUAGCUAGUUGGUGAGGUAACGGCUCACCAAGGCCACGAUGCAUAGCCGACCUGAGAGGGUGAUCGGCCACACUGGGACUGAGACACGGCCCAGACUCCUACGGGAGGCAGCAGUAGGGAAUCUUCGGCAAUGGACGAAAGUCUGACCGAGCAACGCCGCGUGAGUGAAGAAGGUUUUCGGAUCGUAAAACUCUGUUGUUAGAGAAGAACAAGGACGUUAGUAACUGAACGUCCCCUGACGGUAUCUAACCAGAAAGCCACGGCUAACUACGUG
RNAcentral lists this ribosomal RNA (508 nucleotides) under uncultured bacterium. RNAcentral's name for it is "partial 16S ribosomal RNA". It matches the Rfam family "Bacterial small subunit ribosomal RNA", at positions 28 to 507 of the family's 1533-position model. The record is from RNAcentral.